AGAUUGAACGCUGGCGGCAUGCCUAACACAUGCAAGUCGAACGGGAGUAGCAAUACUCUAGUGGCGGACGGGUGAGGAAUACGUAGGAAUUUGCCCUUAAGUGGGGGAUAACCCGGGGAAACCCGGAUUAAUACCGCAUGACCUCGAAAGAGCAAAGUGGGGGAUCGCAAGACCUCACGCUUUUGGAGAAGCCUACGUCGGAUUAGCUAGUUGGUGAGGUAAUGGCUCACCAAGGCGACGAUCCGUAACUGGUCUGAGAGGAUGAUCAGUCACACCGGAACUGAGACACGGUCCGGACUCCGUACGGGAGCAGCAGUGGGG
RNAcentral lists this ribosomal RNA (321 nucleotides) under uncultured soil bacterium. Its description in RNAcentral is "bacterial SSU rRNA". It matches the Rfam family "Bacterial small subunit ribosomal RNA", at positions 26 to 359 of the family's 1533-position model. The record is from RNAcentral.